CAGUAGCGCCGUCAGGGAUGACGGCGCAGCCGCAGGCGGCACAGGGAUGUGCCGUGUGCGGCGGUACGUC
Non-coding RNA from Aeromonas schubertii, 70 nucleotides. The record is from Rfam. NCBI's taxonomy places the organism in Bacteria, Pseudomonadati, Pseudomonadota, Gammaproteobacteria, Aeromonadales, Aeromonadaceae.